Molecule: long non-coding RNA, 318 nt
Filed under: Daucus carota (carrot)
Lineage: Eukaryota; Viridiplantae; Streptophyta; Magnoliopsida; Apiales; Apiaceae
Description: long non-coding RNA (DCAR_LNC002548)
Source: RNAcentral
CUUGGAUCAUCUACAUCUCUCUCUCCCACAAGAUAAUUUAUACAGAUUACAGAAGUUCAUAGAGAAAUAGUGUCUGAUUACUUGACAAGCUCCCAAGAGAGCUGUUCCAGUAAAAUUUGUGCUUGUUUGGGACAGGCAUUGCAUUGUUCUUUAAACCUUGUACUUCAUGCGGCAAGUCGUGUGUUUGCGAAAGGCAAAGUUUUCACAUGAGUGUUGGAACACUUGUUGUGAGAUGUUUACUCAUGUUUUGGAGGUGUUUUCUUCAUCUUUUAUGUGCUGGACAUGGCCUGAAUUCCAGUUGUGUACUCGAGUAUGGUU